This is a long non-coding RNA of Sinocyclocheilus grahami, 231 nucleotides long. RefSeq lists it as uncharacterized. The record is from RefSeq and is a predicted model, not a curated record. The transcript has 3 exons. NCBI's taxonomy places the organism in Eukaryota, Metazoa, Chordata, Actinopteri, Cypriniformes, Cyprinidae.
AGCUUCGAAAAGAGGAUGUGGGGGAGCAGUAGACAAUACAGAUAUUUAACUUUAAAAUUCUUAGAGCACAGGUUCUUUCAAAGGUUGUAUAUGUGUAGGCUACUAGUAAUGAAAAAUAUGUAAUGUAAAAUACUAGUAAUACUGUAUACUUGUAGAAAUUAACCUUUUAUUUUACCUUAACAUUUUUCUUAAAGGGGUCAUAGGAUGCCCAUUUUCCACAAGUUGAUAUGA